ACAACGAAGAGUUUGAUCCUGGCUCAGGAUGAACGCUAGCGACAGGCUUAACACAUGCAAGUCGAGGGGCAGCACAGGUAGCAAUACCGGGUGGCGACCGGCGCACGGGUGAGUAACGCGUAUGCAACUUACCUAUCAGAGGGGGAUAACCCGGCGAAAGUCGGACUAAUACCGCAUGAAGCAGGGGUCCCGCAUGGGGAUAUUUGCUAAAGAUUCAUCGCUGAUAGAUAGGCAUGCGUUCCAUUAGGCAGUUGGCGGGGUAACGGCCCACCAAACCGACGAUGGAUAGGGGUUCUGAGAGGAAGGUCCCCCACAUUGGUACUGAGACACGGACCAAACUCCUACGGGAGGCAGCAGUGAGGAAUAUUGGUCAAUGGCCGAGAGGCUGAACCAGCCAAGUCGCGUGAGGGAUGAAGGUUCUAUGGAUCGUAAACCUCUUUUAUAAGGGAAUAAAGUGCGGGACGUGUCCCGUUUUGUAUGUACCUUAUGAAUAAGGAUCGGCUAACUCCGUGCCAGCAGCCGCGGUAAUACGGAGGAUCCGAGCGUUAUCCGGAUUUAUUGGGUUUAAAGGGUGCGUAGGCGGCCUUUUAAGUCAGCGGUGAAAGUCUGUGGCUCAACCAUAGAAUUGCCGUUGAAACUGGGGGGCUUGAGUAUGUUUGAGGCAGGCGGAAUGCGUGGUGUAGCGGUGAAAUGCAUAGAUAUCACGCAGAACCCCGAUUGCGAAGGCAGCCUGCCAAGCCAUUACUGACGCUGAUGCACGAAAGCGUGGGGAUCAAACAGGAUUAGAUACCCUGGUAGUCCACGCAGUAAACGAUGAUCACUAGCUGUUUGCGAUACACUGUAAGCGGCACAGCGAAAGCGUUAAGUGAUCCACCUGGGGAGUACGCCGGCAACGGUGAAACUCAAAGGAAUUGACGGGGGCCCGCACAAGCGGAGGAACAUGUGGUUUAAUUCGAUGAUACGCGAGGAACCUUACCCGGGUUUGAACGCAUUCGGACCGAGGUGGAAACACCUUUUCUAGCAAUAGCCGUUUGCGAGGUGCUGCAUGGUUGUCGUCAGCUCGUGCCGUGAGGUGUCGGCUUAAGUGCCAUAACGAGCGCAACCCUUGCCACUAGUUACUAACAGGUAAAGCUGAGGACUCUGGUGGGACUGCCAGCGUAAGCUGCGAGGAAGGCGGGGAUGACGUCAAAUCAGCACGGCCCUUACAUCCGGGGCGACACACGUGUUACAAUGGCGUGGACAAAGGGAAGCCACCUGGCGACAGGGAGCGAAUCCCCAAACCACGUCUCAGUUCGGAUCGGAGUCUGCAACCCGACUCCGUGAAGCUGGAUUCGCUAGUAAUCGCGCAUCAGCCAUGGCGCGGUGAAUACGUUCCCGGGCCUUGUACACACCGCCCGUCAAGCCAUGGGAGCCGGGGGUACCUGAAGUCCGUAACCGCGAGGAUCGGCCUAGGGUAAAACUGGUGACUGGGGCUAAGUCGUAACAAGGUAGCCGUACCGGAAGGUGCGGCUGGAACACCUCCUUU
This 1525-nucleotide ribosomal RNA is filed under the name Parabacteroides distasonis. RNAcentral's name for it is "bacterial SSU rRNA". It matches the Rfam family "Bacterial small subunit ribosomal RNA". Lineage: Bacteria; Pseudomonadati; Bacteroidota; Bacteroidia; Bacteroidales; Tannerellaceae. The record is from RNAcentral.